RNAcentral lists this ribosomal RNA (432 nucleotides) under beta proteobacterium SCGC AAA027-F16. RNAcentral's name for it is "bacterial SSU rRNA". It matches the Rfam family "Bacterial small subunit ribosomal RNA", at positions 355 to 780 of the family's 1533-position model. The record is from RNAcentral. Lineage: Bacteria; Pseudomonadati; Pseudomonadota; Betaproteobacteria.
UGGGGAAUUUUGGACAAUGGGGGCAACCCUGAUCCAGCAAUGCCGCGUGAGUGAAGAAGGCCUUCGGGUUGUAAAGCUCUUUUGUCAGGGAAGAAACAGCAGCUCUAACACAGUCUGCGAAUGACGGUACCUGAAGAAUAAGCACCGGCUAACUACGUGCCAGCAGCCGCGGUAAUACGUAGGGUGCGAGCGUUAAUCGGAAUUACUGGGCGUAAAGCGUGCGCAGGCGGUUAUACAAGACAGGCGUGAAAUCCCCGGGCUUAACCUGGGAAUGGCGUCUGUGACUGUAUAGCUAGAGUGUGUCAGAGGGGGGUGGAAUUCCACGUGUAGCAGUGAAAUGCGUAGAUAUGUGGAGGAACACCAAUGGCGAAGGCAGCCCCCUGGGAUAACACUGACGCUCAUGCACGAAAGCGUGGGGAGCAAACAGGAUUA